UUUUUUUUAAUUAUUGUUUUUAAUAUAAAAUUUUAUAUUUUUAUAAAUAAUUUGAAAUCCUUUUAUUUUAAAACUACCUUAAAAAAAAAUUAUAAAAAUAUAAAAUUAAUAAUUUAAUUUUUUUAUAGAACUUGAAAUUUUAAUAUUUAUUAUUUUUUUCAAUUGUAAAAAAGACAAUGAAAAAAUUUUUAAAAUAUUAUAAGCUAUUUUUAUGUUCUUUUAAAAUAAAAAAAAAAA
RNAcentral lists this transfer RNA (237 nucleotides) under Pneumocystis jirovecii. RNAcentral describes it as "tRNA-Pseudo(TTA)". The record is from RNAcentral. Lineage: Eukaryota; Fungi; Ascomycota; Pneumocystomycetes; Pneumocystales; Pneumocystaceae.